Stegodyphus mimosarum is the source of this 73-nucleotide non-coding RNA. The record is from Rfam. NCBI's taxonomy places the organism in Eukaryota, Metazoa, Arthropoda, Arachnida, Araneae, Eresidae.
GCCUUCGUGGUGUAAUGGUCAACACACUCGGCGCGUAAUGGAGAGGUCCAUGGUUAGAGUCCCGGCGAGGGCA